This 489-nucleotide ribosomal RNA is filed under the name uncultured bacterium. RNAcentral describes it as "partial 16S ribosomal RNA". It matches the Rfam family "Bacterial small subunit ribosomal RNA", at positions 28 to 507 of the family's 1533-position model. The record is from RNAcentral.
GACGAACGCUGGCGGCGUGCUUAACACGUGCAAGUCGAACGGUGAAGGGACCAGCUUGCUGGUUCUGGAUGAGUGGCGAACGGGUGAGUAACACGUGAGUAACCUGCCCCCUUCUUCUGGAUAACCGCAUGAAAGUGUGGCUAAUACGGGAUAUUCUGGGUCUGUCGCAUGGCGGGCCCGGGAAAGAUAUUGCUUCGGUGGGGGAUGGGCUCGCGGCCUAUCAGCUUGUUGGUGGGGUGACGGCCUACCAAGGCGGUGACGGGUAGCCGGCCUGAGAGGGUGGACGGUCACACUGGGACUGAGACACGGCCCAGACUCCUACGGGAGGCAGCAGUGGGGAAUAUUGCACAAUGGGCGCAAGCCUGAUGCAGCGACGCCGCGUGAGGGAUGGAGGCCUUCGGGUUGUAAACCUCUUUCGCCAGUGAAGCAGGCCUGCUCCUUGUGGGUGGGUUGACGGUAGCUGGAUAAGAAGCGCCGGCUAACUACGUG